Long non-coding RNA from Grus americana (Whooping crane), 4430 nucleotides. RefSeq lists it as uncharacterized. The transcript has 3 exons. The record is from RefSeq and is a predicted model, not a curated record. Lineage: Eukaryota; Metazoa; Chordata; Aves; Gruiformes; Gruidae.
CUCUGAUAUAAGCCUAAUCUAUUCAGUUAAUACUAGGACAAGUACAGUUUACUGUGAACGGUUGGAAUAUUCCCAUCUGGCUGCAUGCACCAGAGCCUACAGAGCAGCUGCCCCCUCCCUGCCCCCUAGCCUUUUAAAUUUGCUUUCUAGAAACCGCUUUGGUAAGUUGGGGUUGCUUGUCAGAAAUCCGUUCCGAAGCUUGAGUGUAAAAUGAGCAGGGUACUAAUGAUGGAUAUGAAUGGAUGGAUAUCUUAAGGAUAACAAUGGAUAUGGCAUCUUCAAAAGCAGUGGCGUUCUGGCCCUAAUCCUGCUGCUGGAUUUGUUCGAAUGGACCUUGACAGCCAUGGGGCUGACUGAGUUGAUGGGACUCUGGAUGACUGCAAGUUUCUACUCUGAAGAUCUGAUUAUAGGCCUGAACCUAAAUUUUUAUUUUAUUCCCCUGUCUAUUUGCUUCUAAUUCAUGAAAAUUAUCCUACAAAACGGUAUUGUCUUUGAGUCUCAUGCACGCCUACUUUAGUACCAUUCAGACACCGUGUGCUUGGGAUGUUGUCAGACAUCGUUAAAAUGUUUCUUUUGUGUCAUGUGCCAAAAACUCAUGAUUACUCUGAUUAUUGUGUUGUAUUUUUACACUCAAUGCCUUCCUACCUAAAACGGAGGAGGUUAUCACCUGUGUUUUCAAUCAUUGUGGUAUUUCUCUUAACACAGAUUUUGAAGUCAAGAGCAACUGUUGGAACUCUAUUCAGGUCACUUUUAAAGAUGUUGGUAGAUUUGUUUUUUAAUUUUUGGACACAAAGUACAUAUUUUUUAUUUUAUUUCGCAAUGUGGUAUUUUCUCAAUAGCCUACUAUUACUGAAAGCUUUCAAUAUGAUGAUACUCUGUGACAUAGACCAAUAAAAUAAGUAGGAAAAGGCAUUAACUUUUACUAGCUCUCCUGUUGCUUUUCUGUUUCUGUGGCUGUGGUUACAUGACAUACUGUACAGCUGAGAGUGAGGAUAUUUUUAUUUUUGUGAAGCAGAGAAUAUCUUUUGUUUACAGAGUGCUUUCCCUGUCCUAUUCCAUAUGACCAUGUUGCAGUUUCACUGAGUACUAAAGUUAAAUACCUCUCAUAUAAGCUGGAAAGGACUUUGCAAAAUCACAUUAAAAAUAGAGUUUGAGGGGGAAAAUGGAUAUGCUCCAUCUCUGUGCAUGUUUGUAUUUAUAUAGUAUAGACUUUUUAAAGCAAGUGUGUAGCAAUAUAGGAUAAUUAAUGGGUGAAAAGAUCCAGAACAUUGUAGAGAAUCAGAAAUACCUUCUUUUUUUUUUUCUUAUAGGCUUUUUACAAUGAUAUCUAAGAGCUGCAGAGUAUUUGAUGAAUUUUUGCAUAUUCCCAGAACAACAGAAAAGCACCGCUGUCCUGUUUGACCAAGGAGAAAACCAAGCCACUCGUUCAGUCAGUAGUAAAGUUGAUGAUGCUAAUUGGGUUCUCCUGCCUUUUAACCUUGUGCCUCCAGCUCCAUUUCUCCCUCAAAAGCCAAAGCUUCCAUUAUAAUCAGCUGCUUUGCAUUUCUGUGUAAAAGGCCCAAGGUGUUUUGGUUUGGACUCACAGAAAAUGAGGAAGACAAGGUUGGUGGCCAUCUGCCAAGGAGCUUGGUCUGACUCGCUCCUCGUUCACAGAAGCCGAUGGCGAAGGCAGAGGCAGAACUGAGUGUUCCUGUGUGGCGUUCAACUGCCUUAACCACAUGCCCAUCGCUGUCUUCCUGUAGUUGUCUGUCUUGUUCUCUGCACAACUUCGAGAGCAAACACAUAUACCAACCUAUAAAUAAUCUAAUUCGAUACACAACCCUGAUUCAUUUCCUGAGCAGCGUGUGUCCUGCACACACAGGGCAGCUGCGGUCCUGUGGAAAAAUUCAGCAGAGUGGAUGAGGCCAAAUAUUAAGGCUAUUAAGUAUGUAAACUUUGCAAUGAAAUAGCAUUAUUUUAAUGUACCUUAUUAUAGCUAUAGCUUGAAGUAUUUUUAACAAGGAACAAGAAAAAAUGAAUGCUUUUAGAACUGGUUGUAAACAUUUCCCUGUGUAGCAUGUGAAUGUGAAUACUCAGCUCAGUGAAAUACAGAACGCCAGCCGGCAGGAGGAGGCUGGCCACCUCUGGGGAGGAAGGGAAGGAAGAAGGCUGGGUAGUAAAUGCCAUGGGUAUACCCAGUUUGCUUUCGAGUCUCAGGGACUAUUUGGGGAGACUUUACCCUACCUUUUAUUUUUUCUUCAGCAUUCCCAGCCCAGAAAAUGAGCUCUGCCAAAGUUUCUCAGUGCAAUAGAUGGUGAGGGUGUGCGGUGUGUUGCUAUAGUCUGCUAAGAGUGUAAAGAAAGAAAUGGAAAUCAAAAGUGGGUUUUUCUCCUAUCUAUGCUUUUCUGUCAGAAAGUAAGAGGAAGCACUCCUCAAGUCUCCCAGUUUUCUCCCAGAUGAAUUUCAGGGGCGAUCCAUGUGAUCCUUGAUCUCAAAAAUGGGUAGCAAAACCUUUUAAAAUAGAAAAUACUGCUCUCGUCCCCUUAAUCUUCUUCCCAGUCAAACUGCAGUGGCCUGUUGUGUUUGUAAGCUACCAAGGAUGGCGUGUAGGCUCCAGUGCCAGAGCAGUGGUGUUGGGAAUCACAAGCUCAUCUCUUUAUCUUUUAUGUUAGCCUUAAUUAAGAUUAUAGGGUUUUUUUCAGAGAAAUCUUGCCAGGCCACGGCAAGACCAUGGUUUCAGUUUUUGUUAAUGUUCUACCUUAUCCAUGGAUGACACUUGAGAUUUGGUGACCAGGCUAGUGAUUUGCUAUGAGGAAAACAAAGCAAUCUCAUGCUUUGCUUUUGCAUAUUUUUCUCUGGGGUAUGCAGUCUUUUCCCACGAGUAAUGCAGCAAAUUCAGAUGCCCUGUAAAGAGCACCAGAGAUGAUACUGAGAUAUAAAGGUAGUUAGGAAAAUUUUGGUCAGGCCAUUCACUAAGAUUCAUAAAAAUUGAAACGCUUGCAAAAGUACAUCAGUUCUACUGGCAUUUUGUUGUAAACAAAAAAUGAAACCCCUGCUUUUAACGCGCUUUUUUUUAAAAAUAAGUAUCAGUUUUCAAAGUUUCGCAGCUGUAGAGAAAUUGUGGGAGCAGGAAGAAUAAGUCUUGAUGGGGUGGAAUCACCUUAAGCCAGUAUCUCAACUCAACACUUUGUAUCAUGAAACCAUGGCCUGAAACUGCUGCCUGUCAUAUCAGAUAUUAUCAUUGAUUUAUUAUGUUACUUCAUCUUAGGCGUUGUUUGUAACCUUUUGGCAGGGAUUGUUUUUCUUCUCUGAUUUGGAGGAUUUUUUUGGCCUGGGUUUUUUGGGGGGAGUUUUCUGGGUUGGUUGUUGGAUUCUUUUUUUACCAGCACCUAAUGUGAGGGAGCCCUGAUCCAUGACUUGGCUUCCAGGUACUAGGAUAAUACAAGUAGUAAUCAUGCAUGCUGCUAAAAAUUUUCUACCUUAAUCCAUUUGCAUUUGUUUGCCUUCAGCUUCCAGUCAUUGAUUCUUGUUAUGCCUUUCUGUGAUGGAUUAAAGAGCUCUUUAGUACUCACUAUUUUCUCCCCAGGAAGGUGCUUUUACCCGGUAAUCAACUUACUUCUCAAUCUUUCUUUCUUUUUUUUUUUUUAAAGCAAAACAGAUUGAGCUUUUUAUGGUUCUCAUUAUUUUUUCACAUUCUUGGAUGAUUUUUGUGGCUCUUUUCUAUCCCUUCUCUAAUUUUUCUAUUAUAAAAGAGACGUAAAACUGUAUUUUACUAGUCACAUACACAGAAAUAAAAUUACUUCACUGUUUACUCCUGUGUUAGUAUGGUCAGAAAUUGAUGUUUUUGCAAGGUCAGAUAAAAUAAACAACUAUUCAACUAUUUAAUAUGACUUCAACACAUAUGAGUAUGUAAUUAUUAGAGGACAGAAAAGGAUAGAUCACUUAAAAAACAUUUAAAUACUUCAUAAACUUCAAAAGGACUAUCAAAUCAGUGAGAGUGGGUGUGCAGGGGGGUGUCUAAAAGUAUUUCUGUUUGGUUUGAGGUUUUUAAGGAGACAGAAGUGAAAUAACAAUAAUCUUAACUGUAAAUCAGCAAUAAUACAUCAAAACCUUACGUGCUGUGGAUAACACAGUAAUACGUACUUGCCAAAAUUUUGUAGGAUUGAAUGCAAAACCUUUGUUAGUAAUGGACUAUGCAGGCCAUUGGAAAUAGAGACUGUGAAUGGGUGUCAAUAUAUGCAUCCCUUACAUCAUUUAAUCCCAUAUGUAGCCACUUGCUGAUAUUCGGAAACCCUAGAACAGUUAUGUGAUCUGUUAUGCUGUAAUAGAAGAAAUAACAUAGUAUCAAGAAUUUCUUUUGUUAUAAAAGCUGUCACCAUUAAGUCAUAUAAGAGUUCAAACAGUCAAAAUCCACAGCUUCAAAGAAGCUCUUGAAAAUUUUACUGCUUCAG